RNAcentral lists this ribosomal RNA (441 nucleotides) under uncultured bacterium. RNAcentral describes it as "partial 16S ribosomal RNA". It matches the Rfam family "Bacterial small subunit ribosomal RNA", at positions 338 to 795 of the family's 1533-position model. The record is from RNAcentral.
CCUACGGGUGGCAGCAGUAGGGAAUGUUGCGCAAUGGGCGAAAGCCUGACGCAGCAACGCCGCGUGAUUGAUUAAGGCCUUCGGGGUGUAAAGAUCUGUCAGUGGGGACGAAACUUGACGGUACCCACAGAGGAAGCACCGGCUAACUCAGUGCGAGCAGCCGCGGUAAGACGGAGGGGGCAAGCGUUGUCCGGAAUCAUGGGGGGUAAAGAGUUCGUAGGUGGCAUCUUAAGUCGGGUGUUAAAUGCAGAAGCUCAACUUCUGUUCGGCCCUGGAUACUGGUAAGCUUGAAUGCGGUAGAGGUAACGGGUCUUCCUGGUGUAGCGGUGCACUGCGUAGAUAUCAGGAGGCACAUCGGUGGCGUACGCGCUUUACUGGGCCGUAAUUGACACUGAGGCACGAAAGCCUGGGUAGCACAUCGGAUUAGCUACCCUGGUAGUC